AUUCUUAUAGUUUAACUAAAAAAUAUAAUAUUGAAAAUAUUAAGAUAUAUUUUAAGGGUA
RNAcentral lists this transfer RNA (60 nucleotides) under Ornithodoros hermsi. RNAcentral's name for it is "tRNA-Phe". Lineage: Eukaryota; Metazoa; Arthropoda; Arachnida; Ixodida; Argasidae. The record is from RNAcentral.